AGCGUAACUGUCUGGACUCAGUAGUUUAGUUAUGAACGCAGUGGCGUUUGACUCGAAACGAACUGAGUUUGAAUCCCAGUAUGGA
Molecule: non-coding RNA, 85 nt
Filed under: Schistosoma japonicum
Lineage: Eukaryota; Metazoa; Platyhelminthes; Trematoda; Strigeidida; Schistosomatidae
Source: RNAcentral